This 444-nucleotide ribosomal RNA is filed under the name uncultured bacterium. Its description in RNAcentral is "SSU rRNA". It matches the Rfam family "Bacterial small subunit ribosomal RNA", at positions 26 to 518 of the family's 1533-position model. The record is from RNAcentral.
AGAGCGAACGCUGGCGGCAGGCCUAAUACAUGCAAGUCGAACGGACCCUUCGGGGUUAGUGGCGGACGGGUGAGUAACACGUGGGAACGUGCCCUUUGGUUCGGAACAACUCAGGGAAACUUGAGCUAAUACCGAAUGUGCCCUUCGGGGGAAAGAUUUAUCGCCAUUGGAGCGGCCCGCGUCUGAUUAGCUAGUUGGUGAGGUAAAGGCUCACCAAGGCUACGAUCAGUAGCUGGUCUGAGAGGAUGAUCAGCCACACUGGGACUGAGACACGGCCCAGACUCCUACGGGAGGCAGCAGUAGGGAAUCUUGCGCAAUGGGCGAAAGCCUGACGCAGCCAUGCCGCGUGAAUGAUGAAGGUCUUAGGAUUGUAAAAUUCUUUCAGCGGGACGAUAAUGACGGUACCGCAGAAGAAGCCCGGCUAACGUUCGCGCCAGCAGCCGC